UCCCCCUGAAAUAAGAAACAAAAUAUCAAUUCAGGAAGAUGUCUAUGAAGGCAUACAUAAUUUAUUUGUCAAAUAGAUAAAGCCACAUGUCAAUCAAAAUCAUUAUGUUCGUUCAUUCCUAUUGUUUUUUUUUACAAAAAAUAUCAUCAGGAUAUGGGUCAGUGAAAAUAAACCAGGAAGAAGGCAAAUAUGGAAAACUAUAAACCAAUGGAACGAUCCCUUUCGAAACAAAAUUUUUUCAGAGUAAAUAAAGAGCAAUAAAGGAGAAACAAAGUUAUAAAAUAUUGCCGCAUGGCGUUUUCAUAUCGAAAGAUGAAUUUGGAAUUUUUGAUUUCGGAGGUUCCUGAGUCGAGAAAUCAUGUCAACCAGGAAAAAAAACAGGCUUUGUUGAGGCAAUCAUAUCUGGGUCAUAUUGGAUUAUAAAAAUUAAAAAAAAAAUGUUUGUGUAUACUUUAAUGUGUAUUUUUGCAUUUGUGAAAAAAUUAUAGUAUGAUAAUAAAAUUUUGUGUAUAAAAAAAUUAUUGAAAAUAUGUGCAAAAUACUAGAGAUUGCCCCCUUAAACAUUCCAACUAAAAAUCAUCCCGAAACUGAUCAAGCUAAUAAAAUCCAGGGCGGUAAGUACUGAGUACCAGGAACAAAUCCGAAUCGAGAUAACUCCUAGCUUAAAG
Molecule: long non-coding RNA, 668 nt
Organism: Hermetia illucens (black soldier fly)
Lineage: Eukaryota; Metazoa; Arthropoda; Insecta; Diptera; Stratiomyidae
Exons: 3
Source: RefSeq, a predicted model, not a curated record